Molecule: ribosomal RNA, 440 nt
Filed under: uncultured bacterium
Lineage: Bacteria
Description: partial 16S ribosomal RNA
Rfam family: Bacterial small subunit ribosomal RNA
Source: RNAcentral
CCUACGGGGGUCAGCAGUAGGGAAUAUUGCUCAAUGGGGGAAACCCUGAAGCAGCAACGCCGCGUGGAGGAUGCAGGUUUUCGGAUUGUAAACUCCUUUUGUUAGAGAAGAUCAUGACGGUAUCUAACGAAUAAGCACCGGCUAACUCCGUGCCAGAAGCCGCGGUAAGACGGAGGGUGCAAGCGUUUCUCGGAAUCACUGGGCGUAACGAGCACGUCGGCGGGAUAGCAAGUCAGAUGUGAAAUCCUAUGGCUUAACCAUAGAAAUGAAUUUGAAACUGUUAUUCUAGAGUAUGGGAGAGGUAGGUGGAAUGCUUGGUGUAGGGGGAAAAUCCGUAGAGAUCAAGAGGAAUACUCAGGGCGAAGGCGACCUGCUAGAACAUAACUGACGCUGAUGCGCGAAAGCGUGGGGAGCAAACAGGAUUAGAUACCCUAGUAGUC